Long non-coding RNA from Brienomyrus brachyistius, 662 nucleotides. RefSeq lists it as uncharacterized. The record is from RefSeq and is a predicted model, not a curated record. NCBI's taxonomy places the organism in Eukaryota, Metazoa, Chordata, Actinopteri, Osteoglossiformes, Mormyridae. The transcript is spliced from 3 exons.
UAUCGGCAGAUUUUGGGGUGAAGGAUGGUAUCUGAAUACACAAAUCACGAGUAAUGCCACUAUUUACUGCUGUUUGCUGCGCAGGGAGAACAUGCUGCUUCGACAACAUCUUUCCUCAGUGGAAAAAUCGGCCAGAAGAUCUUCUGUACCCGUUUCUGCCUGCUAUGGCAGCAGUGAGCUGCUAGGGAAGGUUGAAACUGACCCUCCGACAGAGGGGUCCUCUUGCUGCAGGAGGUCAUGCAAGAAAACAGAACACUGCAGUGAGUGUGUCCAUUUGCUGCUGUUGUUUUAUCUGCUUUAUCAAUGUUUUUCCAGUAGCAUAUUACGUCAUGCGUUUCACUAACACCUAUUAGUUCAAAAAAAAAAAAAGUUGACUCAGUUUCCUACCUGUGUUACUGCGACCAGACCCCUAACCAAUACUUAACAUAUGCACCAGAGAGUGGAAAAGGGAGCAUUACUCAACCGCACCCAAUCCUCCAAGCAACAGGGGGCGCUCCUGUCACUUGAAAAUGCUCAGUUGCUGCACAAACUGGACGAACUGCAAAGUUGGUGGCACUGCCUCCUCUCUGGGCCCUGCAGGCUGUUGCCUGUGGGGAGAAAUAUCCAGCCCAAACUGAAAUCCAGAGUGAGCCUCCCAGUCAGAGCGCAGGACUUCAUGGACG